Gigantopelta aegis is the source of this 1050-nucleotide long non-coding RNA. RefSeq lists it as uncharacterized. NCBI's taxonomy places the organism in Eukaryota, Metazoa, Mollusca, Gastropoda, Neomphalida, Peltospiridae. The transcript is spliced from 2 exons. The record is from RefSeq and is a predicted model, not a curated record.
ACUAGUUGGGGGAAAAAGACCUGCUGAGCUAAAAGUCUAGUUCACUACAGGCUCCAAUUCCAUUUCAUACUUAUUUUUAAAAAGAGAAGAAAGCAAAAAAGAAGAAAGCAAGUCUAGUGCUGAAUGUGACAAACAGCCUUUUGUUUACAUGACAAAAACCAGUGGGGGGGAAAAAGAGCUGUAGGGCCAACAAGCUUUAGCCAACAACAGCUUCAGAUCCUAUAAAUUAUUUUUUUUUUUUUUUAAAGACUUGAGAAAGUCUACCAGUCUAGCGUGGAACAUGACAAAUGGGUUUUAUUUACACCAGGCAAACUAGUUGGGAAAGCCCUGCAGGGCCAAGAGGUUUAGCUUAUUUCAAGAUCCCACACACCCAGCAGGAGUUGGCAGCUUGCCCAGUUGUGGGCAACAACAUCUUAGUGAUGAGGUGUACAUGUAUUCAACAUAUGGAUCAUAUCCUACAAAACUGCCCACACCUGGAAGAGAACCAUCAGAAAGUUUGGACACAAGACACACCCCUAAAUAUCAAACUCUGGGGACUUCUUGAUGACCUCCGGAAGACGCCACAUUUCAUUAUCAUAUCCGGAUUAUUGAUCUAAUACAGCCAAAUCUUGAUUGAACGCAGAAGAAGAACAACAUAUGGAUAAUUUAAAUACACAAAAAAGUUUUUCCUAGAUGUAGCACGACUAUUAAUUUUGUAAUUUUUAUAGGCAUGGUAUAGGUACAUGUGUUCAGGUUGUGGAAAUAGUUUUAAAAUGUAUAUUGUUAAAUCUCAAUUGUCUAUAUACAGUGUAAGUGGAUUCUUAGUUUUAGUAACAGAACUGAAAUCAUCCAUCUUAAACAUACUGUAUGGUACUUUAUUUCUGUUUUAUUUAUAGAAGUUUUAGGUACAUGUGCAUGUAUUCAUUUUAUGGAAUUGCAGUUUUAAAACAUAUUCUGAACUGAAAUCAUCCAUACUGGAUGGUGGAAUUAUACCCAACAUCUGGUGUGUGGUGAAAAACCCCACACCUAGCAUGUACCAUAUCCUGUCUGUGAUAAAGUGUAUACACUACU